GGUCCACUACAAUCUGAUCUGUGUUGCCUUCUGGGCCAAUACAGAACCAUUAACUCCCUUUCCUUAUAACCAAAAGCAAACACCCAAAUCAUCCCCUAGUUGAUGAUCGAAAAACACAAAGCAGCCAAACCCAAAAAAAAAAAAAAAUUAUCCUCCAGAAAAACAGAAUACCCAAUUUUUUGUUACUGUUACACAAUCCUGUAUAUGCAAUCCUCUUCCAUGCCCAAGAC
RNAcentral lists this unclassified non-coding RNA (230 nucleotides) under Hevea brasiliensis (rubber tree). The record is from RNAcentral. Lineage: Eukaryota; Viridiplantae; Streptophyta; Magnoliopsida; Malpighiales; Euphorbiaceae.